This is a non-coding RNA of Salmo salar (Atlantic salmon), 301 nucleotides long. Lineage: Eukaryota; Metazoa; Chordata; Actinopteri; Salmoniformes; Salmonidae. The record is from RefSeq and is a predicted model, not a curated record.
GUUUUAACCUCCAGGCUCCUCCAUCUUCUCCUGCCAACUCUGUCAGUCCACCAGACCCAACAAUGCAGUCUCCACACCACUGCAGUAACAGCCAUAUCUUCACGUCACAAAGCUUCAGUACUAUCUGAAUGUGUUGAAGUACCAUCCAGCAUCCUGUGGCAACCGCAAUGUGAAUCAAAUCAAAUAAAUUAGAAUAUACAUCCGCACUGACCCGUGAAUCCGCACUGACCCAUGAUCACCACCGACCCGGGCUCUACAGAGGCAGCCUUGGAUGCCCAGGCUUUGCACACGUUCAAGAACA